AAAUUGAAGAGUUUGAUCAUGGCUCAGAUUGAACGCUGGCGGCAGGCCUAACACAUGCAAGUCGAACGGUAACAGGAAGAAGCUUGCUUCUUUGCUGACGAGUGGCGGACGGGUGAGUAAUGUCUGGGAAACUGCCUGAUGGAGGGGGAUAACUACUGGAAACGGUAGCUAAUACCGCAUAACGUCGCAAGACCAAAGAGGGGGACCUUCGGGCCUCUUGCCAUC
Molecule: ribosomal RNA, 225 nt
Filed under: Escherichia coli
Lineage: Bacteria; Pseudomonadati; Pseudomonadota; Gammaproteobacteria; Enterobacterales; Enterobacteriaceae
Also listed under: 4 other names
Description: partial 16S ribosomal RNA
Rfam family: Bacterial small subunit ribosomal RNA
Source: RNAcentral